AUGGACCGAGCCCACCGGCUCCCUUUGUUCGCACGGGAACACGACGCCUCUCCCCCGGUUCCGACAGGACAACUUCAGCCGCGAGCUCGGGCUCAACCCAAACCAUCGCCGCCGCUUCGGCCGGGGCUGGCCGUGCCCGCUCCCAGCUCGGCGGGAGGCAGGGAGGAGCUGCCCAGGUGUGCUGAGGGGCCUGUACUCAGGAAGAGAAACAGGGAAUCCUCCACAGCAUUGGAAAAGUACCCCAACUCACCAAUGACUGCAAAACAAAUACUGGAAGUCAUUCAGAAAGAAGGGUUAAAAGAAACAAGAUAUGAAAUGCUUUAGUUCCUGCCAAGAAAUUGCUUGAAGUGUAUUUGGCAGGGCCAAAGAAACAAGGAAAUGAAAACUUUUGAAAACGAAUGUCCAAACGUGUGUUAUGCUGUAAGGAUUUGCAUUUAAAAAAAAAGAAAAGAAAAAAACACCAAACAACCACAUUUGAAAAUCUGUUUUCAUUAAGAUUCUGUUUCUCACAGCAGUGCAUAGAUUGCUUUCUUCUUACAUCUUGUGAUAUGAGGCAACCACAUGGGAGAAGCUUACAUGCCUGAUAAUAGCAUUUCUUUGUAAUUUUAAAAAUUCUUGUUUCCCUAAAAAGUAUGUAAAUAAAAUUUUGUGCGUAAAACCUAUGGGAGGUAGU
RNAcentral lists this long non-coding RNA (673 nucleotides) under Anser cygnoides (Swan goose). RNAcentral's name for it is "lncRNA (ENSACDG00005007798.1)". Lineage: Eukaryota; Metazoa; Chordata; Aves; Anseriformes; Anatidae. The record is from RNAcentral.